CAUCGGAACGUGCCAUUGAGUGGGGGAUAACGUAGCGAAAGUUGCGCUAAUACCGCAUAUUCUGUGAGCAGGAAAGCAGGGGACCGCAAGGCCUUGCGCUCUUUGAGCGGCCGAUGUCAGAUUAGCUAGUUGGUGAGGUAAAGGCUUACCAAGGCGACGAUCUGUAGCGGGUCUGAGAGGAUGAUCCGCCACACUGGAACUGAGACACGGUCCAGACUCCUACGGGAGGCAGCAGUGGGGAAUUUUGGACAAUGGGGGCAACCCUGAUCCAGCCAUGCCGCGUGAGUGAAGAAGGCCUUCGGGUUGUAAAGCUCUUUCGGCCGGGAAGAAAUCGCAUGGGCCAAUACCCUGUGUGGAUGACGGUACCGGAAUAAGAAGCACCGGCUAACUACGUGCCAGCAGCCGCGGUAAUACGUAGGGUGCGAGCGUUAAUCGGAAUUACUGGGCGUAAAGCGUGCGCAGGCGGUUUUGUAAGACAGGCGUGAAAUCCCCGGGCUUAACCUGGGAACUGCGUUUGUGACUGCAAGGCUAGAGUACGGCAGAGGGGGGUGGAAUUCCACGUGCAGCAGUGAAAUGCGUAGAGAUGUGGAGGAACACCAAUGGCGAAGGCAGCCCCCUGGGUCGAUACUGACGCUCAUGCACGAAAGCGUGGGUAGCAAACAGGAUUAGAUACCCUGGUAGUCCACGCCCUAAACUAUGUCGACUAGGUGUUGGGUGGGUAAAACCAUUUAGUACCGUAGCUAACGCGUGAAGUUGACCGCCUGGGGAGUACGGCCGCAAGGUUAAAACUCAAAGGAAUUGACGGGGACCCGCACAAGCGGUGGAUGAUGUGGAUUAAUUCGAUGCAACGCGAAAAACCUUACCUACCCUUGACAUGCCAGGAACUUGCCAGAGAUGGCUUGGUGCCCGAAAGGGAGCCUGGACACAGGUGCUGCAUGGCUGUCGUCAGCUCGUGUCGUGAGAUGUUGGGUUAAGUCCCGCAACGAGCGCAACCCUUGUCGUUAAUUGCCAUCAUUUAGUUGGGCACUUUAACGAGACUGCCGGUGACAAACCGGAGGAAGGUGGGGAUGACGUCAAGUCCUCAUGGCCCUUAUGGGUAGGGCUUCACACGUCAUACAAUGGUCGGUACAAAGGGUUGCCAAGCCGCGAGGCGGAGCCAAUCCCAGAAAGCCGAUCGUAGUCCGGAUUGCAGGCUGCAACUCGCCUGCAUGAAGUCGGAAUCGCUAGUAAUCGUGGAUCAGCAUGUCACGGUGAAUACGCUCCCGGGUCUUGUACACACCGCCCGUCACACCAUGGGAGCGGGUUCCGCCAGAAGUAGGUAGCCUAACCGCAAGGGGGGCGCUUACC
This 1347-nucleotide ribosomal RNA is filed under the name metagenome. Its description in RNAcentral is "bacterial SSU rRNA". It matches the Rfam family "Bacterial small subunit ribosomal RNA", at positions 116 to 1458 of the family's 1533-position model. The record is from RNAcentral.